AAUGAAGUUUCCCAUCCAUGAACAAUGGCACCUGAGGUGGCUUCCCUGCACUUGAACUCCACUGCUACACUCACUGACUGGCAUCAAGCAAAUCCGCUCCCCCAGGGCUCAGGACAGGGGCCCCCAUUACUGGUCUCAUUAUAGCACAAUACCAAGUGGCAAGGAGUCGGUUCUGGUCCCCAUGCUCUCCAGUUCCUGCUGAUUCCAUGGAGCUCCUUGCGCAUUUCAUCGGUCAUCGUGUGCAGCAUCUCCUUGAUAUCGCUCUUGGAAGAUCAGACUCUGCAGGAAUGAAGUUUCCCAUCCAAGAACAAUGGCAUCUGAGGUGGCUUCCCUGCACUUGAACCCCACUGCUACACUCACUGACUGGCAUCAAGCAAAUCCGCUCCCCCAGGGCUCAGGACAGGGGCCCCCAUUACUGGUCUCAUUAUAGCACAAUACCAAGUGGCAAGUAAGUUAAUUAAGCAAUAUCAAUAUCAUUAAACAGUAUCUUUGUCUAGAA
This is a long non-coding RNA of Xenopus laevis (African clawed frog), 499 nucleotides long. RefSeq lists it as uncharacterized. The transcript is spliced from 3 exons. The record is from RefSeq and is a predicted model, not a curated record. NCBI's taxonomy places the organism in Eukaryota, Metazoa, Chordata, Amphibia, Anura, Pipidae.